Molecule: ribosomal RNA, 253 nt
Filed under: uncultured bacterium
Lineage: Bacteria
Description: partial 16S ribosomal RNA
Rfam family: Bacterial small subunit ribosomal RNA
Source: RNAcentral
UACAGAGGUCUCAAGCGUUGUUCGGAUUCAUUGGGCGUAAAGGGUGCGUAGGUGGCGCGCUAAGUCAGGUGUGAAAUUUCGGAGCUUAACUCCGAAACUGCAUUCGAUACUGGCGUGCUUGAGGACUGGAGAGGAGACUGGAAUUCAUGGUGUAGCAGUGAAAUGCGUAGAGAUCAUGAGGAAGACCAGUGGCGAAGGCGGGUCUCUGGACAGUUCCUGACACUGAGACACGAAGGCCAGGGGAGCAAACGGG